This is a long non-coding RNA of Ostrinia furnacalis (Asian corn borer), 786 nucleotides long. RefSeq lists it as uncharacterized. The record is from RefSeq and is a predicted model, not a curated record. The transcript is spliced from 4 exons. Lineage: Eukaryota; Metazoa; Arthropoda; Insecta; Lepidoptera; Crambidae.
UUUAUUUGCAAAGAACAGAAGUGCAAGUGCAGUAGAAAGAAAAAACCUAUUGAUAGGAGAAAUUCAAGGUCCAAUCAUGAUCAUGAUUACUUACCUUCUGCUUCCUACCUAGGCUACCUGCCGCCUGACUCCUGCGCUUGCUGAUGAACUAUCCAACUGCAGCAGCUCGUUGUGAAGCAAAACAUGGCGCGGAUCUUCGCGAACUUGAAUCCGGCGUCUGGCGAAACCGCAAAAGACCGAGCCAAGUGCCGUCAUCACGCUGUGGGUCGCUGAGCCAUCGGAGUAACAAAGCACUCGGACUGGUUGAACUCGGAUCUUCGCCAAUUUGAAGCAGACAGGCGACUACCUUGAAAUCGCACAAAACCGAGGCAAAUGCCGUCAUCUCAUAUCGGAGGGAGGCCAAGACAUCGCGAGCUUGAAGCAGGCAGGCGACUGGCUUGAAACCGCACAAGAUCGAGGCAAAUGCCGUCAUCUCAUAUCGGAGGGACGCCAAGAUAUCGCGAGCUUGAAGCAGGCAGGCGACUGGCUUGAAACCGCACAAGAUCGAGGCAAAUGCCGUCAUCUCAUAUCGGAGGGAGGCCAAGACAUCGCGAGCUUGAAGUAGGCAGGCGACUGCCUUGAAACCGCACAAGACCGAGGCAAAUGCCGUCAUCCCUUAUCGAGAACAAGACAAUCUUUGGAUUGAGCUGAGCCAUCACAAUAAGUAAGAUUUGGCUGCGUGUCGACGUCACGUCUGAGCCUCGAAGCUGCCGCGACCAGCGCCAACUGACGUCAUGCCGUCCAGCU